UCGCUCUCCAUCCAGAAAACCCUGCAAGCAUGAGAUAGUGCAGCACAAUGUCUAUAAGACAACUACUACAUAAUGAAAGUUUGAAUGCCAUAAUACUACACAGGCUAUCUGAGGAGUGAUGAAUUCAGAACAAACAAACACAUUCCAGGCAGCAUUUGUAGUAACUAUAGCUAGAGCAAAAAAACCAACAAAUAAUUCAUACAUAUUCUAUCAUCUGGUAUGUGAAAAUGAAUUGCUUUAGAAAGCCUUGCAAGAUCAGAUAAUACUUAUGCCAUAAAUAUUGCUCCAAGAAAACUAGCCUUCAUUUCAGUUCCCAAAACAAGUUGCAAACUUCAUUUCAUUAA
This 344-nucleotide unclassified non-coding RNA is filed under the name Hevea brasiliensis (rubber tree). The record is from RNAcentral. Lineage: Eukaryota; Viridiplantae; Streptophyta; Magnoliopsida; Malpighiales; Euphorbiaceae.